ACUGUGUGAUCCACAGUGUUAAAGGAAACAAGUACUGUGUGAUCCACAGUGUUAAAGGAAACAAGUACUGUGUGAUCCACAGUGUAACAGGAAACAAGUACUGAGUGAUCCACAGUGUUAAAGGAAACAAGUACUGAGUGAUCCACAGUGUUAAAGGAAACAAGUACUGUGUGAUCCACAGUGUCACAGGAAACAAGUACUGAGUGAUCCACAGUGUUAAAGGAAACAAGUACUGAGUGAUCCACAGUGUUAAAGGAAACAAGUACCGUGUGAUCCACAGUGUCACAGGAAACAAGUACUGUGUGAUCCACAUUGUCACAGGAAACAAGUACUGAGUGAUCUGCAGUGGAACACAUAACAAGUACUGUGUGAUCCACAAUCUUAAAGGAAACAAGUACUGAGUCAUCCACAGUGUUAAAGGAAACAAGUCCUGAGUGAUCCACAGUGUUAAAGGAAACAAGUACUGAGUGAUCCACAGUGUCAAAGGAAACAAGUAUUGUGUGAUCUACAGUGUUAAAGGAAACAAGUACUGAGUGAUCCACAGUGUUAAAGCAAACAAGUACUGAGUGAUCCACAGUGUUAAAGCAAACAAGUACUAUGUGAUCCACAGUGUUAAAGUAAACAAGUACUGAGUGAUCCACAGUGUUAAAGGAAACAAGUACUGUGUGAUCCACAUUGUCACAGGAAACAAGUACUGAGUGAUCUGCAGUGGAACACAAAACAAGUACUGUGUGAUCCAUAGUGUAACAGGAAACAAGUACUGAGUGAUCCACAGUGUUAAAGGAAACAAGUACUGAGUGAUCCACAGUGUUAAAGGAAACAAGUAUUGAGUGAUCCACAGUGUUAAAGGAAACAAGUACUGAGUGAUCCACAGUGUUAAAGGAAACAAGUACUGUGUGAUCCACAG
This is a long non-coding RNA of Thalassophryne amazonica, 907 nucleotides long. RefSeq lists it as uncharacterized. NCBI's taxonomy places the organism in Eukaryota, Metazoa, Chordata, Actinopteri, Batrachoidiformes, Batrachoididae. The transcript has 2 exons. The record is from RefSeq and is a predicted model, not a curated record.